GAUGAACGCUGGCGGCGUGCCUAAUACAUGCAAGUCGAGCGAACAGACGAGGAGCUUGCUCCUCUGACGUUAGCGGCGGACGGGUGAGUAACACGUGGAUAACCUACCUAUAAGACUGGGAUAACUUCGGGAAACCGGAGCUAAUACCGGAUAAUAUAUUGAACCGCAUGGUUCAACAGUGAAAGACGGUUUUGCUGUCACUUAUAGAUGGAUCCGCGCCGCAUUAGCUAGUUGGUAAGGUAACGGCUUACCAAGGCAACGAUGCGUAGCCGACCUGAGAGGGUGAUCGGCCACUCUGGAACUGAGACACGGUCCAGACUCCUACGGGAGGCAGCAGUAGGGAAUCUUCCGCAAAGGGCGAAAGCCUGACGGAGCAACGCCGCGUGAGUGAUGAAGGUCUUCGGAUCGUAAAACUCUGUUAUUAGGGAAGAACAAAUGUGUAAGUAACUAUGCACGUCUUGACGGUACCUAAUCAGAAAGCCACGGCUAACUACGUG
RNAcentral lists this ribosomal RNA (497 nucleotides) under uncultured bacterium. RNAcentral's name for it is "partial 16S ribosomal RNA". It matches the Rfam family "Bacterial small subunit ribosomal RNA", at positions 28 to 507 of the family's 1533-position model. The record is from RNAcentral.